GACGAACGCUGGCGGCGUGCUUAACACAUGCAAGUCGAACGGAAAGGCCCUGCUUUUGUGGGGUGCUCGAGUGGCGAACGGGUGAGUAACACGUGAGUAACCUGCCCUUGACUUUGGGAUAACUUCAGGAAACUGGGGCUAAUACCGGAUAGGAGCUCCUGCUGCAUGGUGGGGGUUGGAAAGUUUCGGCGGUUGGGGAUGGACUCGCGGCUUAUCAGCUUGUUGGUGGGGUAGUGGCUUACCAAGGCUUUGACGGGUAGCCGGCCUGAGAGGGUGACCGGCCACCUUGGGACUGAGAUACGGCCCAGACUCCUACGGGAGGCAGAAGUGGGGAAUAUUGCACAAUGGGCGGAAGCCUGAUGCAGCAACGCCGCGCGCGGGAUGACGGCCUUCGGGUUGUAAACCGCUUUCGCCUGUGACGAAGCGUGAGUGACGGUAAUGGGUAAAGAAGCACCGGCUAACUACGUG
RNAcentral lists this ribosomal RNA (468 nucleotides) under uncultured bacterium. RNAcentral describes it as "partial 16S ribosomal RNA". It matches the Rfam family "Bacterial small subunit ribosomal RNA", at positions 28 to 507 of the family's 1533-position model. The record is from RNAcentral.